Molecule: ribosomal RNA, 859 nt
Filed under: uncultured Corynebacterium sp.
Lineage: Bacteria; Bacillati; Actinomycetota; Actinomycetes; Mycobacteriales; Corynebacteriaceae
Description: bacterial SSU rRNA
Rfam family: Bacterial small subunit ribosomal RNA
Source: RNAcentral
GACGAACGCUGGCGGCGUGCUUAACACAUGCAAGUCGAACGAUGAAGCCUAGCUUGCUAGGUGGAUUAGUGGCGAACGGGUGAGUAAUACGUGAGUAACCUACCUUUAACUCUGGGAUAAGCCUGGGAAACUGGGUCUAAUACCGGAUACGACCAAUCUCCGCAUGGGGUGUUGGUGGAAAGCGUUAUGUAGUGGUUAUAGAUGGGCUCACGGCCUAUCAGCUUGUUGGUGAGGUAACGGCUCACCAAGGCGACGACGGGUAGCCGGCCUGAGAGGGUGACCGGCCACACUGGGACUGAGACACGGCCCAGACUCCUACGGGAGGCAGCAGUGGGGAAUAUUGCACAAUGGGCGCAAGCCUGAUGCAGCGACGCCGCGUGAGGGAUGACGGCCUUCGGGUCGUAAACCUCUGUUAGCAGGGAAGAAGAGAGAGUGACGGUACCUGCAGAGAAAGCGCCGGCUAACUACGUGCCAGCAGCCGCGGUAAUACGUAGGGCGCGAGCGUUGUCCGGAAUUAUUGGGGCGUAAAGAGCUUUGUAGGCGGUUUGUCGCGUCUGCUGUGAAAGACCGGAGCUUAACUCCGUGUAUUGCAGUGUGUACGGGCGACUAUAUUGCAGUAUGGGAGACUGGGAAUUCCUGGUGUACGGUGGAUUGCCCAGAUAUCAUGAUGAACACCGAUGGGAAUGCAGUCUCUGGGCUGUAAUGACUGUGAUAAACGAAAGCGUGGGGGAGCGACAUGAUUAUAUACCCUUGUAUUCCCAGGGCGAUGUCCACGGUUGGUCUUAGGUGUGUGGAUGCCGUGCGUGGCUGGGUGGGGGGGCUGGUUGCAGUUUAUGUUCAAUUGUGAAGGGUGGUGUAG